GAUGAACGCUGGCGGCGUGCCUAAUACAUGCAAGUCGAGCGAACAGAUGAGGAGCUUGCGCCCCUGACGUUAGCGGCGGACGGGUGAAUAACACGUGGAUAACCUACCUAUAAGACAGUUAUAACUUCGGGAAACCUGAGCUAAUACCGUAUAAUAUAUUGAACCGCAUGGUUCAAUCGUGAAAGACGGUAUUUCUGUCACUUAUAGAUGCAUCCGCGCUUCAUUACCUAGUUGGUAAGGUAACGGCCUACCAAGGCGACGAUGCGUAGCCGACGUAAGAGGGUGAUCGACCACACUGAAAGUGGGACGGGGUAGAGACUCUUACCGGCGGCAGCGGUAGGGAAUCUUCCGCGACGAGUGUGAGCUUGUCGGAGCAACGCCGGGUGAGUGAUGAAGGUCUUCGCAUCCUAAAACUUUUUUUUUAGGGAAGAACAAAUAUGUAAGUACCUAUGCACGUCUUGACGGUACCUAAACAGAAAGCCACGGCUGAAUACAUG
Molecule: ribosomal RNA, 497 nt
Filed under: uncultured bacterium
Lineage: Bacteria
Description: partial 16S ribosomal RNA
Rfam family: Bacterial small subunit ribosomal RNA
Source: RNAcentral